Long non-coding RNA from Hemicordylus capensis (graceful crag lizard), 6883 nucleotides. RefSeq lists it as uncharacterized. NCBI's taxonomy places the organism in Eukaryota, Metazoa, Chordata, Lepidosauria, Squamata, Cordylidae. The record is from RefSeq and is a predicted model, not a curated record. The transcript has 3 exons.
GCCGCCGCCGCAGCAGGAGAGGGGAGUCCUAUCCGGCUUCAGGAAAAAAGCAGCAGCCAGCCAGCCGUAGAAGCUGGCAGGCACCUUUUUCCUGCCCCUCUGAAGCGGGGAAGCGCGCUACUGGAGGGAUGAGUCCCAGAGAGCCCCCGCUGGGGGCAUGGCUAAAGUACCCAGCCUCCUGGCAGCCCAGCGGAGGGGAAAGGAGGAGAAGGAGGUGGCGGCGGCGGGAGUCCCGGGCCGCCCUCCCUGCACGGGGCGAGGAGGAGGAAGCAAGAGUGAGGACCGAGCGUGGGGAAAAAGAGCGGGUGGAUCUUCCUGGCACGGACUCGUGGAGAAGAGGUGACGGCGAGAGGUCCUGUCUGGCGCUGGAGCGCCAGACUCAGUGUAUUCAAAGGGAGGAGGUCCCUGCGUGUGGAUCCGCCGAAAAGAUAAACGGAGGGAGAGAGUUCUUGUAGAAAAAAAACAGAAAUGAGGGAGAGUGAUCACAAGUCCAGUAAAGGGAAAAGGAGUACAGCAAGAGCAUCAGAAGCUACCACACUCACCUGGUACAGACUUUGGUUUCCUGAAGAUAUCUCCUCCUCUCUAUAUAUUAAAUGCUGACAGAUUCUGGAUGAGGAGGAACAGGAGACAACACUCAAGUCCAGAAGUUAGCAGCUGUUUUCAACCCUAGGAAUGUAUUUCCCAAGUUCUUACUAUUAGAAAAAGAGGAAUGCAAGCACACAUGCAAGGAGAAAACAGCCAGAUACAAAGUGGAGGUACAGGAUCCUCCCAGCAUCAGGAAGCUGCUACAGUAGAGGAAGGAGUGGAGCCCAUCAAUUUAUGGAGACAACUAGAAACUCCAGACUAUUUCAUAGUUGCUGUUUCAGAUUUGCAGAUUAAUUUCUACAAAGGAAGGAAUGUAUGUAUUAUAUUAUAUACUUAUUUUCCCCCCAUCAGAAACUGAAGCAGUCUUCAUUUUCCUAUACAAUCUGUGAUCACAUUAACUGUACUGGCCAUUAUAUCAUUAGAUAUAAUGAUGGCCCCUGGCCCCAGCCCCAGUGAGGCCGAAAAGGUGGUUUGGAAUUAGUGCUCCAAUACAGUAGCUGGAGCUUCCUGGGGCUACAGGUUCCCAGUUGUCAGGAAAAUGAUCAAAAAUUUUUUGCUGCUUUUAAAAUUUUAUUGGUUUUUACAAUAUCUUAACAAUCUUAUUACAUCCAAUUAAACAAAUGUUGACUUCCCGCUCGCCAAUCUGUGUGAAUCACUAAUUAUACAAUUCAACCAUUGCUAUAGUAAUUCAAAACAUAUAUCCUAUACCUUACAGACUUGAUUUUACUCUACUCAACCUGCUAUUAUUACUAAAUUUCAAACUCUGCUGAAAAAUCAAUAUUAGAAAAAUAGUUCUUUAAGUAUAGUAAGAAUGGUUUCCAAUCUUCUUUAAAACAUUCCAGGUUUUCAUCUCUUAUCAGUACUGUAAGUUUUGCCAUCUCAACAUAUUGCAAAGUUUUUAUCAGCCAAUCUUCUUUUGAGGGCAUUUCAUUAUCCUUCCAUUUCUGUGCAUAUACUAUUCUAGCCACCGUGGUUGCAUACAUAAAGAUUGUUAAAUUCCUUCUGGAAAACUCUCCUUGCGUUAUUCCCAGCAGGAAGGAUUCUGGUUUCUUAGGAAAUGUCAUUUAAAAUUUUUUCUUCAACUCAUUAUAUAUCAUAUCCCAGAAAGCCUUUGCCUUCCCGCAAGACCACCACAUAUGAAAAAAAGUUCCCUCACAGUGUCCACAUUUCCAGCAUUUGUUUGGAACAUUUUUAUACAUUAAUGCUAAUUUUUUGGGUGUCAAAUACCACCUAUACAUCAUCUUAUAAUAAUUUUCUUUUAAGGUAUAACAUGCGGUAAACUUUAAAUCCAUUUUCCAUAAUUUUCCCCAAGCUGCCAUAUCUAUAUUGUGACCCAGAUCUUGAGCCCAUUUUAUCAUAGUCGUUUUGACCACUUCAUCUCUUGUCUCCUCCAGAAGCAGCAGCUUAUACAUCUUAGAAACUAAUUUUUCAUCAUUUUCACACAGCUCCUUCUCAAAUCUCGACAUUUGAUCCUCAAAUCCAACUUUAAGAUCCUUCUUAUAAAUUUCAUUUAACUGAUGGUAGCGAAACCAGUUACUAACCAGAUUUUGUACUUCAGUUAGAUUUUUUAACUUACAGCCCUUUUCUUGGAAACAUAACAAAUCCCUAUAGGUACCCCAAUGAGGCUGCAUAUUUAUCUCUUUAUGUGCUAAAGCUUCAAUUGGAGAUAGCCAUAAUGGAGUUUUAAAUUCCAACCAUUUUUUAUAUUUUACCCACACUCUCAUUAGACUCCUUCUCACAUAGUGAUUAAGAAAAUCUUUAUGCACUUUAGUUUUAUCAUACCACAAAUAAGAAUGCCAUCCAAACCUUCUAUCAAAUCCUUCCAGAUCAAGUAUUCUGGGAUUUCUUCAUGUUAUCCAUUCUUUUAACCAUGUCAAACAAACAGCAUCAAAAUACAACCUUAAAUCUGGUAGGGUAAGACCACCUCUUUCUUUAGCAUCUGUUAAAUUUUUAAAUUUAAUUCUUGGUCUUUUCCCUUGCCAAACAAAUUUGGUUAUGUUCUUUUGCCAUUGCUUGAAACAAGUUAAGGUGUUGAUUACAGGGAUAGUCUGAAAAAGAAAGAGCAUUUUAGGUAAAACAUUCAUCUUCACAACUGAAAUUCUUCCCAUUAAAGAUAAGUUCAUUCUAGUCCAUCUUUGCAAGUCAGUUUUUACUGUAUUCCAUAUUUUAAUAUAAUUAUUUGAAAACAACAAAGAGUUUUUGUUUGUCAACCAGACGCCCAAGUAUUUAAUUUUCUUCUCGACUUUCAGCUCACUUAUUUCAAAAAGUCUGUCUAGGAAAAUGAUCAAAAUUGAUAGACAAUCGGCCAAAUGGGGUGUGUGUGUGGGGGGUAAGCUCCCUACCAUGCUUUGCUAGUCCCCUGAGUUGCUCUGUGCCCCCCAAAAUCACCUCCAAAUCGACCAAAAAAUCACUGGGGUUUUUUCAUUCUUUAAGAAAACGGAGCCAUUUUGAGGCUCCGAAACACAAAAUGGCAUCCGGAAAUGACAUCUGCAGUCAUUUUCAGCCACCCCAACCUGCGAAUAUGCUAGAUUGGCAUGUUUUCCCCAUGUAUGCCAAAGUCGGGGUGUCUUUUACCAGACCACGGAUAUGCGAAUCCGUGGAUAAUGAAUCUGCGGAUAAGAAGGUCCUCCUCAUUAAAAUUUUAAAGACAGAACAUUACAUUCAGGCAGAAUCUGCAGGCACCACACAUGCACACACACAUGUACCCUCCCCAUUCUCUUCACUACCUGGGCACAGGUGAAUGUGACAAUCAGAAGCAGGAGGUGGGGGCCUCUUCAACCCAGUUGGCCAGAAAUGGGUAGAAUGGAUCGGGGGGAAGGGGGUUGUUGGCUGUGUGAACAAACCAAUGUUUGAAAUACCACAAUGAAACAUAAUCAACUGUAAUAAAAAGCAGCAACGUGAACAACCCCAAUUUACUUUGAUUUAUGCGUAUGUAUGCAUGUACACACUUAUAUGCGCUUAUGCUCUCAUCCUAACUUACCUCUUUUCCUCCCACAGUAAAGCCCCCAGUCUGGGAAACCUCCAGCUGGAUGGAGGCAUGUUGACAUUUAAGCUGGGAAAAGUAUAACUUGUGAAUGGUGGGAAUGCUUAUUAACUAAAGUGGGGAAAGAUUCCCAAGUGAUUGUUAAAGUGCUAUAAAUGCACGUGUAAUUUCAGCCUUUCUUUUCCUUCAAAGAACUGAGUGUAUUUUAGCAAUGGUUGUUUCCAAGCUGUCUCAAGGCUAGUUCAGCAGUGAAGAACUGCAUCAUGGGCUAUUUCCUAUUGUUUCUUCUCCAAAGACUGCUUUUUUAUAUACAGAAAUUUCUUCUUUGCUACAAUCUUCCUUCCUUCCUUCCUUCCUUUUAUCACCUCUCCCCACAGAUCUCACAGGCUGAUAGGUUAAGGUAGUGGCUGUUCACCAAGAAACAAGCCCAGUCUGAGAACCUUCCACCUACAAGAGAUGUAUUAUACCACGCAAUACUAUGAGCACAUCAUCAAGCAAUCAUUUGGAAUAAUGAUCCGACAGUGAAGCGUGUAAUCCCAUCACCUGAAAAAUACAUUUGGAAUAUGGAAGGGGAUGUCUGGAUACCAAUGACCAAUCAAUUCUUAGCUCCAAAGGCUGCACUUCAAUUGGUGAGGUGUGGAUGCACUAUCUCCAGAUGUCAGAGAGGAAGAUGCAGCUGUCAUAAAGCAGGGUUGAUCUGCUGCGACAUGUGUUCCUGUCCAUCUCAAAAUAGACAGAACUAAGAGGAUUCUUGUGACCACAUGAUGGAGAAUGAAAAUCCAGAGGAUGAGCUACAGGAAGAAGAUGACAAGUUCAUAUGCUGUAAUAUUAAUUAGGUGUAAGGUAGUUCCAUUUUUGUCCAAAAAACCAACCCCUUAUGCAAAACUUGUAGUAAAAGUCACUUAUGCAAAAUGUUUAUUAUCUAUAAUUUAAUUUUUCAUUAACAACUUUCACAGAUCAGCACGACAGUCAGAGAAGAUUCUUAGACUGUCAACAUGUUUUUUCUAAUUCUUUGAGGUAUUUUGAAGGGAACUGUGUGAUUUGCUUUAAUCACAAAAAUCCCAUGGCAUUAUGCAUGCUCCUGUACUAUGUGGCCUCUGUGGCUCGAAGUUUUUCAAACUGGCUUUUAGUUUGCAUCUCCUCUGGAAUGAAGGUGUGCAUUCACAUAUCGGCCAAAUUUACCUAAAGUCCCUGCAAGCUAUCAGGGAGCACUUCACACACAAUUUGGGUUUUUGAUGGUGCGUGUAGCCCCAUUUAUAUCCAGUAUUUUAAAAAUCCACUUUUUGCAUUGGUUUUUUGGGCAACUUUGAACUCACAGUAAAGCCUCACACAGAGAACCUGCAGUGAAGCCUGCUGUCUGGGAAAACUCUAGAGCACCUUUUAUCAGCUUUGGCUGAUACGCCAACUGUGACCUUACUUGGAUAAAGAUAGCUUGGCCACAAUUACUCGUGCUUUGGUAACCUCUUGCUUAGAUUUCUGCAAUGCAUUGUACAUGGGGCUGCCUUUGAAAACGGUCCGGAAACUGCAGCUGAUACAAAACAGGGCUGCAAGAUUAUUAUCUGGGACUAAGGUUGCCAUCUCCCCCAGAUUUCCCUGUAUUUACCAGAUUUUAAGCUUGUUCCCUGGCACCCGGUUAGCCCAUUCACUUGCCUGAAUUCCCAGCUUUCAUUUUUUUAAAAAAGCUGAGCUCUAGCACUUAUAGAAGCAGAGUGAAAGAGCAAAACCUGCAGUCUCUAUUCUGUUCAACCACUGGACUUCAAGAAAGGCAGCUGAAGCACAGGAGGCUGGCUGGGAGAGGUUCACUCACAAUAAGUAAUCCCCCUGAGGAAUGUUGCCUUUGUUUUUUGUCAGCAGAGGAUCACUACAGGGCAGUAAAGAGGAUAACCUGAUUUUGAUGUAAAUCACUGCCUAUCUGUAUAUUGUAAUGUUUAAGGUUUUUGGCUUUAUAGAGCAAUUCAUUCUAUGCAUGCCUACUUAAAAGUAAGUACCAUAGGUUUCAACCAGAUUUCCUCCCAAGUAAGUGUGUAUAGGAUUGCAGCCUUAACUGAAAUGUUCAGUGUAUUUUAAAAGUUCAGCUGCUAUUAAUAUCUCAAACUUAGUGUAGUCUUCAUUGAUUUUCUAUAGAUUUUUAAAAUUUUUUUGCUUUAAACCACCAUGAAUUCUCCCUGACCCCUACUCGUUUCCAGUCUACACUAGUAUUCCAAAUCACAAGGAGUCAUUUUGGUAUUAUAUUUUAUGUACUUAUCUCAGGAUGUAAAUUGUGACUAUGACAAGGCUUAAGCAUGAAAGCCUUAAUCCCUAGUGCUGGUUUUGUACGGUCAAUUGUAGAAUGUAGUGGUGAUGAAAAUGCACUCAGCACUGCUCCUCAGCAACAGAUUUGAUUUGGUAUCUUCACCAAUCUUAUCUAGCAUUUUCACCUUGACCAAUAAAGAACAUAUUUAAAUUAAACCAAUAAAUAGCAUAUUUAUAUACCAAUAAAUAACAUAGGUAUUGGAAAAUGGAGUCUGCAGUUUAUGUGGAAUCCAUGACAGGACUACACACAGCUAAUUAGAUGAGAUAAAAAUGGAACUUGUAUCUUAGAAAGUGUUGGGAUAUAAAGUCUGGUGUUUAAUGUUCAGGUAAAUGGUCAGGUAAAGAGAUCCUCCCCAACUAUUGCUGGUAGAUAUGCAGAGCAAAUACAAGUCAAUGGGACAGUGUGCAUCAGCUAAUGUGUAUAACAACAUGCAAAUUAGGGCACCCAGAUUUGGAGAGCUUGAAUAUGGCAACCCUAACUGGGACUGAAUGAUCAUAUUACGCUAGUGCUUUGUUAGCUGCACUGGCUCCCAGUCCAUUUCCAGGCCCAAUUCAAAGUCCUGGCUUCAGCCUUGGGACUGGGUAACCUGAGAGAGCACCUUGCCCCAUAUGUCCCAACUCAGACCUUAAGAUCUUUAGAGGUCCUGCUCCGAGUGCCCUUGCCAAAUGAGGUGAGGUGGGUGGCUACUAGGGAGAGGGCCUUUUCGGAGGUUACAGACCAUUUAUAGAAUAGACUCCCCAGUGAGUUUGCCUGGUUUCAUUACUUUGUUCUUUUAGAUGUCAGGUAAAUACCUCUUUGUUCACUCAGGCCUUUCAAUUUUUUUUUUAAAUUGAUUUUAAAAACUUAUUUUUAAAAAGUUUUAAAAUUGUUGUGUAUUGUACUUGGGUUUUGGGGUGUGUAUGUGUGUUGUGAUUUCAUGUGUUUUCAUGCAUUUUUACUUGAUGUUUUAAUGCUGUGUUGUGAGCUGCCCAGAGAACAAUGUGUUAUGGGGCAGCUAACAAAUAAACGUUUAUUUAAUUGUC